CCUAGAGUUGUAGGCUUUGCCUGCUAUCUCUUACCCAUGUCUUUUGAGUACCUUACGUUUCCUCGGUGGGUUCGCCCACCGAUUGGACAAACUUAAACCCUUUGCAGUUGAAAUCAGCGUCUGAAAAAACUUAAUAGUUACAACUUUCAACAACGGAUCUCUUGGUUCUGGCAUCGAUGAAGAACGCAGCGAAAUGCGAUAAGUAGUGUGAAUUGCAGAAUUCAGUGAAUCAUCGAAUCUUUGAACGCACAUUGCGCCCCUUGGUAUUCCAUGGGGCAUGCCUGUUCGAGCGUCAUUUGUACCUUCAAGCUCUGCUUGGUGUUGGGUGUUUGUCUCCUGUAGACUCGCCUUAAAACAAUUGGCAGCCGGCGUAUUGAUUUCGGAGCGCAGUACAUCUCGCGCUUUGCACUCAUAACGACGACGUCCAAAAGUACAUUUUUACACUCUUGACCUCGGAUCAG
This 461-nucleotide ribosomal RNA is filed under the name dothideomycete sp. 7684. RNAcentral's name for it is "eukaryotic LSU rRNA". The stretch from base 142 to 295 matches the Rfam family "5.8S ribosomal RNA". Lineage: Eukaryota; Fungi; Ascomycota; Dothideomycetes. The record is from RNAcentral.